ACUCAAAUGAAUUGACGGGGGCCCGCACAAGCGGCGGAGCAUGUGGCUUAAUUCGAUGCAACGCGAAGAACCUUACCAAGGCUUGACAUGCAGGGAAAUCCCGUGGAGACACGGGGUCCGUCAGGGUCCUGCGCAGGUGGUGCAUGGCUGUCGUCAGCUCGUGUCGUGAGAUGUUGGGUUAAGUCCCGCAACGAGCGCAACCCCCGUCCCAUGUUGCCAGCGGUUCGGCCGGGGACUCAUGGGAGACUGCCGGGGUCAACUCGGAGGAAGGUGGGGACGACGUCAAGUCAUCAUGCCCCUUACGCCUUGGGCUGCACACAUGCUACAAUGGCCGGUACAAUGGGCUGCGAUGCCGCGAGGCGGAGCGAAUCCCAAAAAGCCGGUCUCAGUUCGGAUCGGGGUCUGCAACUCGACCCCGUGAAGCCGGAGUCGCUAGUAAUCGCAGAUCAGCAAUGCUGCGGUGAAUACGUUCCCGGGCCUUGCACACACCGCCCGU
This 496-nucleotide ribosomal RNA is filed under the name uncultured bacterium. RNAcentral describes it as "partial 16S ribosomal RNA". It matches the Rfam family "Bacterial small subunit ribosomal RNA", at positions 899 to 1397 of the family's 1533-position model. The record is from RNAcentral.